Molecule: small RNA, 16 nt
Filed under: Arabidopsis thaliana (thale cress)
Lineage: Eukaryota; Viridiplantae; Streptophyta; Magnoliopsida; Brassicales; Brassicaceae
Description: ATSL232720
Source: RNAcentral
UUCUUGAAGCCUCUCA